RNAcentral lists this ribosomal RNA (494 nucleotides) under uncultured bacterium. RNAcentral's name for it is "partial 16S ribosomal RNA". It matches the Rfam family "Bacterial small subunit ribosomal RNA", at positions 28 to 507 of the family's 1533-position model. The record is from RNAcentral.
GACGAACGCUGGCGGCGCGCUUAACACAUGCAAGUCGAACGGAAAGGCCUGCUUUCCCUUGUGGAUUGCGGGUACUCGAGUGGCGAACGGGUGAGUAACACGUGAGUGAUCUGCCCCCAACUUGGGUAUAAGCCUGGGAAACUGGGUCUAAUUCCCGAUAGGACUGCAGGGUGGUGCCUGUGGUGGAAAACGAUUUUCUAGUGGUUGGGGAUGAGCUCGCGGCCUAUCAGCUUGUUGGUGGGGUAAUGGCCUACCAAGGCGGCGACGGGUAGCCGGCCUGAGAGGGUGGACGGCCACAUUGGGACUGAGAUACGGCCCAGACUCAGACGGGAGGCAGCAGUGGGGAAUAUUGCACAAUGGGCGGAAGCCUGAUGCAGCGACGCCGCGUGGGGGAUGACGGCCUUCGGGUGGUAAACUCCUUUCGACCGCGAGGAAGCCACCUGGUUGGAAGGGUGGUGACGGUAGUGGUAGAAGAAGCACCGGCUAACUACGUG